GGUCAAGCGAUGAAGCGCAUACGGUGGAUGCCUAGGCAGUCAGAGGCGAUGAAAGACGUGGAAGCCUGCGAUAAGGUUCGGCGAGGUGGCAAACGACCUGCGACCCGGACAUCUCUGAAUGGGGAAACCCACCCAAGGUAACUUGGGUAUCUCAUGUUGAAUAUAUAGACAUGAGAGGCGAACCGGGGGAACUGAAACAUCUAAGUACCCCGAGGAAAAGAAAUCAACCGAGAUUCCCCUAGUAGCGGCGAGCGAACGGGGACCAGCCCUUAAGCAACACAACUGGUAGGUGAACAGACUGGGAAGUCUGGCCAUAGUGGGUGAUAGCCCCGUAACCGAAACCUGAGUGUUGUGAAAUCGAGUAGGUCGAGGCACGUGAAACCUUGACUGAAGACGGGGGGACCAUCCUCCAAGGCUAAAUACU
Molecule: ribosomal RNA, 424 nt
Filed under: Halomonas sp. CA3-2I
Lineage: Bacteria; Pseudomonadati; Pseudomonadota; Gammaproteobacteria; Oceanospirillales; Halomonadaceae
Description: bacterial LSU rRNA
Rfam family: Bacterial large subunit ribosomal RNA
Source: RNAcentral